AUUGAACGCUGGCGGCAGGCCUAACACAUGCAAGUCGAGCGGAUGAAGGGAGCUUGCUCCUGGAUUCAGCGGCGGACGGGUGAGUAAUGCCUAGGAAUCUGCCUGGUCGUGGGGGAUAACGUCCGGAAACGGGCGCUAAUACCGCAUACGUCCUGAGGGAGAAAGUGGGGGAUCUUCGGACCUCACGCUAUCAGAUGAGCCUAGGUCGGAUUAGCUAGUUGGUGGGGUAAAGGCCUACCAAGGCGACGAUCCGUAACUGGUCUGAGAGGAUGAUCAGUCACACUGGAACUGAGACACGGUCCAGACUCCUACGGGAGGCAGCAGUGGGGAAUAUUGGACAAUGGGCGAAAGCCUGAUCCAGCCAUGCCGCGUGUGUGAAGAAGGUCUUCGGAUUGUAAAGCACUUUUAGUUGGGAGGAAGGGCAGUAAGUUAAUACCUUGCUGUUUUGACGGUACCAACAGAAUAAGCACCGGCUAACUUCGUG
This 484-nucleotide ribosomal RNA is filed under the name uncultured bacterium. RNAcentral's name for it is "partial 16S ribosomal RNA". It matches the Rfam family "Bacterial small subunit ribosomal RNA", at positions 30 to 507 of the family's 1533-position model. The record is from RNAcentral.